This 450-nucleotide ribosomal RNA is filed under the name uncultured bacterium. RNAcentral's name for it is "bacterial SSU rRNA". It matches the Rfam family "Bacterial small subunit ribosomal RNA", at positions 354 to 796 of the family's 1533-position model. The record is from RNAcentral.
GUGGGGAAUAUUGGACAAUGGGCGAAAGCCUGAUCCAGCCAUGCCGCGUGUGUGAAGAAGGUCUUCGGAUUGUAAAGCACUUUAAGUUGGGAGGAAGGGCAGUAAGUUAAUACCUUGCUGUUUUGACGUUACCGACAGAAUAAGCACCGGCUAACUUUGUGCCAGCAGCCGCGGUAAUACGAAGGGUGCAAGCGUUAAUCGGAAUUACUGGGCGUAAAGCGCGCGUAGGUGGUUUUGUAAGUUGGAGGUGAAAUCCCCGGGCUCAACCUGGGAACUGCCUCCAAAACUGCAUGACUAGAGUACGGUAGAGGGUAGUGGAAUUUCCUGUGUAGCGGUGAAAUGCGUAGAUAUAGGAAGGAACACCAGUGGCGAAGGCGACUACCUGGACUGAUACUGACACUGAGGUGCGAAAGCGUGGGGAGCAAACAGGAUUAGAUACCCGGGUAGUCC